This 435-nucleotide RNase P RNA is filed under the name Croceibacterium soli. RNAcentral's name for it is "Bacterial RNase P class A". It matches the Rfam family "Bacterial RNase P class A". From Rfam's summary of the family: Ribonuclease P (RNase P) is a ubiquitous endoribonuclease, found in archaea, bacteria and eukarya as well as chloroplasts and mitochondria. Its best characterised activity is the generation of mature 5'-ends of tRNAs by cleaving the 5'-leader elements of precursor-tRNAs. Lineage: Bacteria; Pseudomonadati; Pseudomonadota; Alphaproteobacteria; Sphingomonadales; Erythrobacteraceae. The record is from Rfam by way of RNAcentral.
CCAGGGGGCCGGGCAGCCGCGCCCUUCGUCAGGCUCAGGAUGAGCGGGCGGAGGUCGAGGAAAGUCCGGGCUCCACGAAACAAGGGUGGCGGGUAACGCCCGCCGGGUGGAGGGCUUCGGCCGUCCGCUCAGGGAAAGUGCCACAGAGAGUAUACCGCCGAUGGCCCCUAAAAGGCACAGGCAUGGGUGAAAGGGUGCGGUAAGAGCGCACCGGGGCUGCGGCAACGCAGCUCGCACGGCAAACCCCACCCGGAGCAAGACCGAAUAGGGGUCUCGCGCCCAUUCUAGGGCAGGGGUGUUUCGCCCCGAGAGGCCCGGGUUGGUUGCUUGAGCCUUGCGGCAACGCAAGGCCUAGAUGAAUGGCUGCCCUUGCGGGGACGUGGUCUUCGGAUACCGCCCGCGAGACAGAACCCGGCUUACAGGCCCCCUGGCUCC